AGAUUGAACGCUGGCGGCAUGCCUAACACAUGCAAGUCGAACGGGAGUAGCAAUACUCUAGUGGCGGACGGGUGAGGAAUACGUAGGAAUUUGCCCUUAAGUGGGGGAUAACCCGGGGAAACCCGGAUUAAUACCGCAUGACCUCGAAAGAGCAAAGUGGGGGAUCGCAAGACCUCACGCUUUUGGAGAAGCCUACGUCGGAUUAGCUAGUUGGUGAGGUAAUGGCUCACCAAGGCGACGAUCCGUAACUGGUCUGAGAGGAUGAUCAGUCACACCGGAACUGAGACACGGUCCGACUCCGUACGGGAGGCAGCAGGUGGGAAUAGUUGGACAAGUGGGCGACAAGCCUGACUCCAGCAAUGCCGCGUGUGUGAAGAACGGUCCGUUGGUUAGUAAAGCGUACGUUUAAGGUUAGGGAAAGUAAAAACGUCGACUACUAACAC
RNAcentral lists this ribosomal RNA (443 nucleotides) under uncultured soil bacterium. Its description in RNAcentral is "bacterial SSU rRNA". It matches the Rfam family "Bacterial small subunit ribosomal RNA", at positions 26 to 473 of the family's 1533-position model. The record is from RNAcentral.